Molecule: ribosomal RNA, 569 nt
Filed under: uncultured archaeon
Lineage: Archaea
Description: bacterial SSU rRNA
Rfam family: Archaeal small subunit ribosomal RNA
Source: RNAcentral
UCCCGAGUGCCAUCCGCUGAGGAAGGCUUUUACCCAGUCUAGAACGCUGGGGGAAUAAGGAGAGGGCAAGUCUGGUGUCAGCCGCCGCGGUAAUACCAGCUCUCCGAGUGGUGUGGAUGUUUAUUGGGCCUAAAGCAUCCGUAGCUGGCUAAGUUAGUCCCCUGUUAAAUCCACCGAAUUAAUCGUUGGAUUGCGGGGGAUACUGCUUGGCUAGGGGACGAGAGAGGCAGACGGUAUUUUCGGGGUAGGGGUGAAAUCCUAUAAUCCCGGGAAGACCACCAGUGGCGAAGGCUGUCUGCUAGAACGCGCCCGACGGUGAGGGAUGAAAGCUGGGGGAGCGAACCGGAUUAGAUACCCGGGUAGUCCCAGCUGUAAACGAUGCAGACUAGGUGUUUGGACGGCCACGUGCCGUUCUAGUGCCGCAGGGAAGCUGUUAAGUCUGCCGCCUGGGGAGUACGAUCGCAAGAUUGAAACUUAAAGGAAUUGGCGGGGGAGCACCACAAGGGGUGAAGCUUGCGGUUUAAUUGGAGUCAACGCCGGAAAUCUCACCGGGAGCGACAGCAGAGUGA